GAGCCUUUAUUCUGUCAUCUUUUGGCUCUUUAAAAAUCAUUGCAUAUUCCAUCUCUUUUAAAUUAUUGAUUAGAUAUAUGAGGAACUUAUAAUAGCAAGUUAAGCCAUGAAAGUAAUAACCACUUUUUGGGAUAAAUAAAAGGAGAUUUGAAAAACAAUACUUAGCGUUCUAGAUUUAUUAGAUCCUGCAUCUUUUGUCUCUAUCUUUAAAUGGUUUUCACUUUCUUGCCUUUCCACUUGAGAUUCUUUUUUAAAUUGUCAGAAAAUAUGAACUGGUAGAUCCUGUUUAUUUUCAUUGACCAAGUCAUCUUUAUUUCAGAUUACUUUAUAUAGAGUUUUCGGUAGGCUCUAUUAUUUCAAUGAAUCUCUGAAUAAUAUCAAUGUUUUGUGUGUUUUUAAAUAGCUCAAGUAAUUCUGUAACCUGAAUUUUAAUUACAGUGCUAUCAUAUAUUUACUUGGCAUUAAAUCUUUCACAUAUGUAAUUAUUACAGACAUCACAGCGAUUUUCGUCAGUUGAUGAACAAGCAAAACUUCAUAAGACUAUGUCUCAAGGAGAGAUUACCAAGUUGGCAGUGAGACAGAAGGCUUCAGAUUCAGAUAUAAGACCUCAGAGAGCUAAGAUGAGAUUCUGGGCCAAAGG
Molecule: small RNA, 640 nt
Filed under: Pan troglodytes (chimpanzee)
Lineage: Eukaryota; Metazoa; Chordata; Mammalia; Primates; Hominidae
Description: retained intron
Source: RNAcentral